Molecule: long non-coding RNA, 277 nt
Organism: Melospiza georgiana
Lineage: Eukaryota; Metazoa; Chordata; Aves; Passeriformes; Passerellidae
Exons: 3
Source: RefSeq, a predicted model, not a curated record
AGACUUUCACAUUUUUGGCCUGUGAGACUUACUUUGUAUCUUAUGUUAUGCUGUGGUUCCCAGCCCCAUGAAGACUUGAAUGAGGUGAUUGAGGAAAGUGGACUGUGGACAAACUGGGAUUAGAUGCCCAUGCUCUGCCAGUAAGGAGAUGCACAAGAAGCUGGGAGGGAGAAUGGCCAGGACAGCUGACCCAAAGUGGCCAGCGGGACACUCUGAAAAUAGGCUGGAAGCUCCAGGACAGGUCUUGCAGGACAGACCAGCGUAGCUGUGGAGUGCU